GAUGAACGCUGGCGGCGUGCCUAAUACAUGCAAGUCGAGCGAACAGACGAGGAGCUUGCUCCUCUGACGUUAGCGGCGGACGGGUGAGUAACACGUGGAUAACCUACCUAUAAGACUGGGAUAACUUCGGGAAACCGGAGCUAAUACCGGAUAAUAUAUUGAACCGCAUGGUUCAAUAGUGAAAGACGGUUUUGCUGUCACUUAUAGAUGGAUCCGCGCCGGAUUAGCUAGUUGGUAAGGUAACGGCUUACCAAGGCAACGAUGCGUAGCUGACCUGAGAGGGUGAUCGGCCACACUGGAACUGAGACACGGUCCAGACUCCUACGGGAGGCAGCAGUGGGGAAUCUUCCGCAAUGGGCGAAAGCCUGACGGAGCAACGCCGCGUGAGUGAUGAAGGUCUUCGGAUCGUAAAACUCUGUUAUUAGGGAAGAACAAAUGUGUAAGUAACUAUGCACGUCUUGACGGUACCUAAUCAGAAAGCCACGGCUAACUACGUG
RNAcentral lists this ribosomal RNA (497 nucleotides) under uncultured bacterium. Its description in RNAcentral is "partial 16S ribosomal RNA". It matches the Rfam family "Bacterial small subunit ribosomal RNA", at positions 28 to 507 of the family's 1533-position model. The record is from RNAcentral.